GGGUGAAGUGCUCGAUUUUGAGAUCAUGCUCCAUACAGGAUCUUGAGUCUCUAAUAAUCUCUUUCAAGAGCUGAGCAUUGUUUGUGUGUUGAGAUUCAAAGAUUCUAUUACAUCUCUCCUUCCACAUCCACCAAAUAGCGCAUCUGAAAGUAACCUUUGCCAGUUGUGUAAGUGGCCCUUUUCUUGAGAAACAUUGCAUAAGGUCGCCUAGUUCUUGGUGCAAGUUUGGUUGCGGCAGUCUAUUGAGUUCAAAUCGCUGGAGAAUCUCCUUCCAUAUCCAUUUUGUAUAAUUACAAGCAAAAUAAAGGUGGUCAACAG
RNAcentral lists this long non-coding RNA (318 nucleotides) under Musa acuminata (dwarf banana). Its description in RNAcentral is "long non-coding RNA (MACU_LNC011634)". The record is from RNAcentral. Lineage: Eukaryota; Viridiplantae; Streptophyta; Magnoliopsida; Zingiberales; Musaceae.